AGCUGAUACCUGUCAACGUUGCUUGAAUUUUCACAAUUUUUUUUGCCGCUAUGACAUUACAACUAUAAAAAGUGCUUUAGCUUUUCUCAAAACAACACACAGGCAACGCGCAACAGUAGGAGUACCCACCUGAGACCGAUGACCGAGGCAUCUGGAGCAGCUAUCCCAGGAGGAGCCGCCGGAGACACGGAAUCGUACGGCACAGAGAUGCUUCGGCAGUCCAGCAGGGCGAAAGAGCCAUCCAAGUUGGAUGACCUGGUGCAAUAUGUGAGUCUCCAUGUGCGCAUACCCACGUCGCUGACCGGUGUGGUGCUGCCCUUCGUGCCACUCUACCUGUCCGCAUUCUACCUGUGGAUCAACGUGAGUGGCGGCGAGGAAAAUGAAACCACCCAGAACGAUGUGAUGACCGCCGACAAUCAAACAACCACGGAUAAUUCUACAACUUGGAAUGACGUGGGCUUCAUCGCCGUUCUGGCGAUAGCCUUUCUGCACAUUCUGACGCUGCUCUUCUGCUACUGGAGCGUUCACGUGCUGGCCUUCCUCACCUGCCGACGUGUAAAGCUGCCCGGCGCCAAUGUGCUGGCCAAAGUGGUGCCCACUGCCAACAAUGGCAAUUCGAAGAUCGUACCCAUUCGCUCCUCCCAACUGGAGGACGGCUCAACGCAGUAUUUUUUGGUUUUCCAAAAGACCAAAUACGUUUGGAAUGAGGAUCGAAAAACAUUCCGCGCAGUCGAAUUCCCGGUAAAUGGACUACUGAGUAGCUAUUCCACAUCUAGAGGUUUGGAAACCGAGGAGGCCGUCAAGCGGGCUACUCUCACCUACGGAAACAACGAAAUGGAAAUGGUGGUUCCUGAAUUUCACGAACUUUUCAUAGAACGCGCUACUGCACCUUUCUUUGUGUUCCAAGUGUUCUCCGUGGGACUGUGGUGCAUGGACGACUACUGGUACUACUCCCUGUUCACGCUCUUCAUGCUAAUUGCCUUUGAGUGCACUAUUGUAAAGCAGCAGCUGCGGAACAUGUCCGAGAUCCGAAAAAUGGGCAACAAACCCUACCUGAUAUACGCGUUUCGUCAAAACAAGUGGCGUCACCUUGGAUCCGAUGAGCUGCUACCCGGGGAUUUGGUGUCGAUAACGCGCUCCCAGAAUGACAACAUAGUACCCUGCGAUCUCGUCAUUCUUCGAGGCUCUUGCAUUGUGGAUGAAUCGAUGCUUACUGGCGAAUCGGUGCCACUAAUGAAGGAGUCAUUGGAAUCCUUAGAUAAUCUGGACGUUGAAAUGGAUGCCGAAGGAGAUGGAAAGCUAUUUGUGCUGUUUGGUGGCACGAAAGUUGUACAGCACACUGCCCCAACAAAAGAAUCGCUUCGUGCUCCUGACGGUGGUUGCAUCGGCUAUGUGAUCCGUACAGGCUUUAACACAUCCCAGGGCAAACUUUUGCGGACAAUCCUGUUCGGCGCAAAUCGAGCCACGGAGAAUAACGUAGAGACCUUCGCCUUUAUCGCUUUCCUGAUGGUAUUUGCCGUGGCCGCAGCAUCUUAUGUGUGGGUUAAAGGCAGCGAGGAUCCAGAGCGCAAUCGCUACAAGCUUUUCCUGGAGUGUACGCUCAUUCUCACGUCCAUAAUUCCGCCCGAUUUGCCCAUCGAGUUGACCUUGGCGGUAAACACAUCACUGAUUCAGCUAACAAAGUUGUUUGUGUUCUGUACAGAACCCUUUAGGAUUCCCUUUGCGGGAAAAGUGCAGAUUUGCUGCUUCGACAAGACUGGGACUCUGACAACGGAUAACCUGAUGGUGGAAGGUAUUGCAGGACUGGCUCCCAAUGGAGCUUGUGUUCCCAUCGACCAGGCGGAAGGGAACACGGUUCAAGUGCUCGCCUGUUGCCAUUCAUUGGCUCUGCUUGAUGACGGAUUAGUCGGAGAUCCGCUUGAGAAAGCCACUCUAGCAGCUGUGGACUGGACGCUUACCAAGAUGGACAGCGUCAUCCCAAGGCGACCACAGUUUAAGCCCUUAAAGAUCAUCCAGCGCUAUCACUUCUCAUCGGCACUUAAGAGAAUGUCCGUGUUAGCUGGCCAUCUAGUGCCGUACUCCAAUGAGGUGAAACAUUUGGGAGCAGUAAAGGGAGCUCCUGAGGUCAUUCAGAAGAUGCUGCGCGAGGUGCCCUCGGACUAUGAGAAGGUGUAUUUGGAAUAUGCUCGGCGUGGAGCACGCGUCUUGGCUUUGGGAAUUAAGGAUCUCGGGACCCUGAGCGCUCAGAGAGUUAGGGAAAUGAAGCGUGAGGAAGUGGAGUGUGACCUGACAUUUGCCGGAUUCGUGAUUAUUUCCUGUCCCAUGAAGCCCGAUUCGAAAUCUGUGAUCAAAGAGCUUAUUCAAUCCUCGCACAAGGUGGUGAUGAUUACGGGCGACAGCCCGCUCACCGCCUGUCAUGUGGCCCGCGAACUGCGCUUCACCCGCAAAAAGUUGAUCAUUCUUACCCCCCCUGACCAGGAAAGCAGGACCAGCUGGAGUUGGGUAUCUAUCGACGGGGAUCAAACGUACGAACUGGAUACUAAGGCUGGUAGCAAAAAGCUUCAACAUUUGCUAGCCACGCAUGAUCUCUGCAUUACCGGAGAGGGAUUGCAGCAUCUGCAACAGAAUCAGCCGCAAUAUAUGCGCCAAGUACUACCACUGAUUACGGUCUGUGCGCGCUUUGCACCCAAACAAAAGGAGUUCGUUAUCACGCAAUUAAAGCAACUGGGGUACUGCACUUUGAUGUGUGGCGAUGGUACCAACGAUGUAGGAGCUCUAAAGCACGCCAACGUGGGCGUCUCCCUGCUGACCAGUGCUCCAGUGAAGCGUAAACGCACCGAGGAGGAACAGCAGCAGGCGGCGGCCAAUGCAGCUGCAGCAGCAGCUCAGGCACAAGCAAAUGCCAACCAACAGUUGACGCCCAGGGAGCGCGCAUUGCGUCGGCGCCAGGAGCAUAUCAACCAGACACAGGCUCGUCUGCAAAGCGCCCUCCGUGACAUGGAAGAGCAAACUAUGGUCAAGUUGGGUGAUGCCUCUAUCGCGGCACCUUUCACCAGCAAGUCCUCUUCAAUCAUGUGCGUUAACCACAUCAUUAAGCAGGGUCGUUGCACGCUGGUCACCACACUCCAAAUGUUUAAGAUCCUUGCGCUGAACGCACUCAUUCAAGCCUACUGUCAAUCCGUGCUCUACAUUGAUGGCAUCAAGUUCAGCGAUACCCAAGCCACCAUGCAGGGCAUCUUCAUUGCCGCCUGCUUCCUCUUCAUCACACGAGCUAAGCCGCUGAAAACUCUAUCCAAGGUGGCUCCACUGCCAAAUAUCUUCAACUUCUACACGAUAUCAACUAUUCUCAGUCAGUUUGCUGUGCAUUUUGGAACGCUUUACUACCUGACCAGCCAAGCCAACAUUCUGGCACCGCCUAGAGAGGGCAAGGUAAAGUUGUAUAUUGACAUGGAUGCCGAGGAGAAGACUAAAUACGAUCCGAACAUUGUUAGCAGCACGGUCUACAUAAUUUGCCUAUCAUUACAAGUGGCCACCAUUGCGGUGAACUACAAGGGCCAUCCAUUCAUGGAGAGUUUGCGCUCCAAUCGCAUGCUGAUGUAUGCCAUCGGAGCUUCCGCUACAUUGGUGAUUCUUCUGUCCACGGGCCUGGCGCCCGAAUUGACGGAGUUCUUUGAGAUAAUUGAUUUCCCAACGGAUUUCCGCACAACUUUGCUCGGUGUCCUAGUCUUGGAUAUUGCCGGGGCUUUCCUUUUGGACCGUAUUUGCUCAUUCCUGUUCGGGGAAACGCGUCGCAAAUCUAAAGUGCUGAACUGUUAGGACCAUUUUAUACUAAGUAACAUACUAGAAAAGUAAAGUAACAGCAGCGCAAACCGAUCAAGAACUUAACGUGUUUUAUGGCGUCGGUUUCAUAAAUAUUUAAAUUCUUCAUCCAAGAAUCAACAUAAAGCAUUUAAAGUGUAUUAUCAGGCAAGUGUAUUAACGGGCGGCCUAUAUAAUUUUAAUUUGACAAAUCGAGAUCUUUCGAUUUCAUCGACUCCCGUAUAUGCGAUUAGUGAAAUUGUCGUAAUAUUUGUAAUGCUAAUAAAAUAGAGAAAAGUUUGAAAACCGUGA
Drosophila santomea is the source of this 4110-nucleotide RNA transcript. It is a transcript of the gene named endoplasmic reticulum transmembrane helix translocase, with no coding region annotated. The record is from RefSeq and is a predicted model, not a curated record. Lineage: Eukaryota; Metazoa; Arthropoda; Insecta; Diptera; Drosophilidae. The transcript has 8 exons.